Molecule: ribosomal RNA, 252 nt
Filed under: uncultured bacterium
Lineage: Bacteria
Description: partial 16S ribosomal RNA
Rfam family: Bacterial small subunit ribosomal RNA
Source: RNAcentral
UACGUAGGGGGCAAGCGUUGUCCGGAAUUAUUGGGCGUAAAGCGCGCGCAGGCGGUUGUUUAAGUCUGGUGUAUAAACCAAGGGCUCAACCUUUGGACGCAUUGGAAACUGGGCAACUGGAGUGUAGGAGAGGAAAGUGGAAUUCCACGUGUAGCGGUGAAAUGCGUAGAUAUUGGGAGGAACACCAGUGGCGAAGGCGGCUCACUGGACCGGAACUGACGCUGAGGCGCGAAAGCGUGGGGAGCAAACAGG